This 486-nucleotide ribosomal RNA is filed under the name uncultured bacterium. RNAcentral describes it as "partial 16S ribosomal RNA". It matches the Rfam family "Bacterial small subunit ribosomal RNA", at positions 30 to 507 of the family's 1533-position model. The record is from RNAcentral.
AUUGAACGCUGGCGGCAUGUCUUACACAUGCAAGUCGAACGGCAGCACGGGUGCUUGCCCCUGGUGGCGAGUGGCGAACGGGUGAGUAAUACAUCGGAACAUGUCCUGUAGUGGGGGAUAGCCCGGCGAAAGCCGGAUUAAUACCGCAUACGAUCUACGGAUGAAAGCGGGGGACCUUCGGGCCUCGCGCUAUAGGGUUGGCCGAUGGCUGAUUAGCUAGUUGGUGGGGUAAAGGCCUACCAAGGCGACGAUCAGUAGCUGGUCUGAGAGGACGACCAGCCACACUGGGACUGAGACACGGCCCAGACUCCUACGGGAGGCAGCAGUGGGGAAUUUUGGACAAUGGGCGAAAGCCUGAUCCAGCAAUGCCGCGUGUGUGAAGAAGGCCUUCGGGUUGUAAAGCACUUUUGUCCGGAAAGAAAUCCUUGGCUCUAAUACAGUCGGGGGAUGACGGUACCGGAAGAAUAAGCACCGGCUAACUACGUG